GAGCCACGGUCGUGUGCUGUUUUGUGAGUAGGCGAAUAGAUGCAGUGAUGUGCUCUUUUGCGAGAGAGCGAAGAGAACCAGUGGUCUGCUUCCUCUCCAGGCAGCGAAGAGACGAAGCGGUUUGCUUGUUCGCCAGGCAGCGAAGAGACACAGCGGUCUGCUUGUUCGCCAGGGAGCGAACAGCUUAGGCAGUCUCCUUGUUUGUGAGACAGCGAACAUCCACAGUGGUCACUCAUUUGGCGAGGCAGCGAAGCGACA
This 258-nucleotide long non-coding RNA is filed under the name Apteryx haastii (Great spotted kiwi). RNAcentral describes it as "lncRNA (ENSAHAG00000006384.1)". Lineage: Eukaryota; Metazoa; Chordata; Aves; Apterygiformes; Apterygidae. The record is from RNAcentral.